This 460-nucleotide ribosomal RNA is filed under the name uncultured bacterium. RNAcentral describes it as "partial 16S ribosomal RNA". It matches the Rfam family "Bacterial small subunit ribosomal RNA", at positions 338 to 795 of the family's 1533-position model. The record is from RNAcentral.
CCUACGGGUGGCAGCAGUGAGGAAUAUUGGUCAAUGGACGAGAGUCUGAACCAGCCAAGUAGCGUGAAGGAUGACUGCCCUAUGGGUUGUAAACUUCUUUUAUAUGGGAAUAAAACGUUCCACGUGUGGGAUUUUGUAUGUACCAUAUGAAUAAGGAUCGGCUAACUCCGUGCCAGCAGCCGCGGUAAUACGGAGGAUCCGAGUGUUAUCCGGAUUUAUUGGGUUUAAAGGGAGCGUAGGUGGAUUGUUAAGUCAGUUGUGAAAGUUUGCGGCUCAACCGUAAAAUUGCAGUUGAAACUGGCAGUCUUGAGUACAGUAGAGGUGGGCGGAAUUCGUGGUGUAGCGGUGAAAUGCUUAGAUAUCACGAAGAACUCCGAUUGCGAAGGCAGUUCACUGGACUGCAACUGACACUGAGGCUCGAAAGUGUGGGUAUCAAACAGGAUUAGAUACCCCUGUAGUC